RNAcentral lists this ribosomal RNA (468 nucleotides) under uncultured bacterium. RNAcentral describes it as "partial 16S ribosomal RNA". It matches the Rfam family "Bacterial small subunit ribosomal RNA", at positions 28 to 507 of the family's 1533-position model. The record is from RNAcentral.
GAUGAACGCUGGCGGCGUGCUUAACACAUGCAAGUCGAACGGAAAGGCCCUGCUUUUGUGGGGUGCUCGAGUGGCGAACGGGUGAGUAACACGUGAGUAACAUGCACUUGACUUUGGGAUAACUUCAGGGAAAUGGGGCUAAUACCGGAUAGGAGCUCCUGCUGCAUGGUGGGGGUUGGAAAGAUUCGGCGGUUGGGGAUGGACUCGCGGCUUAUCAGCUUGUUGGUGGGGUAGUGGCUUACAAAGGCUUUGAAGGGUAGGCGGCCUGAGAGGGGGACCGGCCUCAUUGGGACUGAGAGAGGGCCCAGAAUGCUACGGGAGGCAGCAGUGGGGAAUAUUGCACAAUGGGCGGAAGCCUGAUGCAGCAACGCCGCGUGCGUGAUGACGGCUUUCGGGUUGUAAACCUCUUUCGCCUGUGACGAAGCGAGAGUGACGGUAAUGGGUAAAGAAGCACCGGCUAACUACGUG